AUAGUACACAUAGAUUGUCAGGUAAUACUGAAGUCAAUAAAAGAUAAUCGUUUUAAUUAUAAUAAUAAUUUUAAUUAUAGUAAAUAAUUAUUUAAUGUUCUAAAGAUAGGUGAAGCCAAAUACAAUCAGGCAGCAUAACGUAGACGACAUGUUGUAAUGUGGCAGGACAGAAUGGAGGCAGAACCAGAUACUAUCAACAGGACAGUCAAUUGUCUGCCGUCUAUGCCGGCAUUUCCUCAGGAAACAGGCACAAAGAACAAGGUAUAUGCACACAGUUCGAAACUCAAUCUUGGUGCUAGAAGAGUUUGUAUCAAUGUGGAUCCACCGAGGAGGUCAAACAACAGACGGGGUCAACAUCUCGUGACAAACUUGCUGAGCACUUCCUAGCAUUGUCUGUCCGGUUAUCGGAUCUGCUGGAUGAGAUUGGAGCCGGAAAAUGCACUGUAAUGGAGCGGAGAGACACAUAUUUGCGAAGAGAGCGUAUGUAGAUGAUAGCAUGGCAACUAUUAGGAGUAGAAAUCGCAGAAUCUUUCCAUUUCGGGAGCCAAUCUGAAGGCACCACCACUCCCGGUCUCAAUUCUGAUAUUGAUUACCUACAUAGUAACAAAUGUGUGAACAUCAUGACAGACUGGAACGACUGGGAGUCUGGGAUGGUUAACCUUCUGCUGUUUCGUGACGACACCACUCCACCUCAACAGUACUUGCUACAGGUCAUAAAGAAAUACACACCGGAACCGGUGACCAGUAUUGACGAUGACAGGUGUAUGAGGAAAGAUUCUGGGCAAGUACUAUUCAGCUCAGAAAGAUACAAACAGGAAAUUGAGCGGACGGUAGCGGUAGCACAUGAAGGAGAGGUAACCAAAAAUGGACCUUCUGUGAGUAAUCUUCCCAACUGGGAUAUUGUAUCGGCAUAUCAUGUCUGCAAACCUCUUCCUGAAAUACAGCACUGGAUAGACAGAUGUAGAGGGAGACAUUGGCCGCCUGCCAAAUUACUGGAGGCUUCACGACGAUCUCCGUCUUUCCUGGUACCUGCAGGACACCCAGACAGUGAUUACAAGCGCGAAGAAUGGCGCCUGUCUCCGAAUCUUAUUGAACGAAUGUUGAUGUUUAGUUUGAAUAUGACACAAAUUAAAUGUUACAUUAGUCUAAAAAUAAUUAAAAAUGCCUUACUUAAUAAAAUGGUUGGGGAUUGUACCACAAGUUUUCAUUGUAAACAUUAAUGUUCUACACCAUAGAAAGAGCACAUCCUUCUCUGUGGAAGGAGCAUAAUCUCAUGUUUCUACUUUUACUUUGUUUACAAAUAUUAAGAAAAUGGCUGCGAUUGGGAAGCUUGCCUCAUUACAUCAUAGAAGGAGUAAACUUGUUCGAUGGGAAACUGUCUAUGGGGCAACAGAGACGCCUUUUACAGUACGUGAACUACUUGAUAAAGAGCGACUUGCAAGAUUUAUUUCAUAUAGAUAUAGAUCAAUUAGGAUGUCGGUUACAAGCGUGUGGUAGACGGAGGAUCGGAAAGGCUGUAGAGGGAGAACUGAGAUCUGUACGGUUACGUUACGGUAUAAGUUUGUUUCUGAAGUUCGAGUACUUGGAAAGAUUUAAUACAGAAUUAACAAAGAUAAUAUAUGAGAUACAGACUUCGAAUACAAACUUCCAACAAGGUAUACACAAUGCAUUACGAGCUGUUGUUGAAAACUCAACGUAUGGCAAUUUGACAAUCGUUUCUUUCGACUAUAUAAAUCACCUGUUUGCAUUACACAAUUAAGUGCAAUCAUCAACGUGUUUGCGACUACCAAACCCUGCUUUUAUCAAAAUUAUACGCCGCUUCCAAUAUUCUUUAAAAACGGAUGUCGUUUCAAGCCGUUUAAAGUUGGCUUCUUUGCUAUACUGCUUUGGACAUCUUUACGCAGCAGUAAGAGUGUUGGAGGGUGUAGAGAAGAGGUAUCACAGCAAGGUCAAGUCUGUGUGUGGAGAAAUAUAUAUAAAUGGAGAAAGAGAUCUCCAGGUAUUUGCUAACAUGAUCUCAGAUAACUGUGACAACAUACUCAGUGAACAACCAUUCGCAUUAUGUGUCAGGUUUAUUAGACAAGAAGCGCACUGCGCUCCAUACAUAUUGUGGUUUGAAAUGAAUCGCGGUAUGACUGAAGAGAAAGUUGCACAGAGAAAUAGCACGGAGAAACUAUGGAUGGUCAACGCUGAGGUGGAUGCUCGUCCUUUCCUUCAUUAUCUACAGUAUCUCACAUAUGGAGGACUCGGUGAACGCAACAAACAGCUUCAUGCAUUUGAAAAACUCAGGUCUUCUUGUAUAUUUGACCCAAGAAAUUUAAUCAACAUGCAUCACUUAGAGACGGCGCUUAAUUUGCUUGGUCACUGCUAUGAAAUGGAAGGCGACUAUCAAAGAGCAUUAUAUUACUACGAGAUAUCGUUGCAGUGUGAGAAUACGAACAAUGCCGCUAACUGGCACGUACAGCGUGUGCAGCGUCUUAUAAGUAGUUCAUAAUGAACAUUACAACUUUGAAAUGUGCAAAAUGAUAGCUAGACGUAUGUGUUAACAUAUAAUCUGUUUCAUCAGUUAGUUCUUUGAGUUUAACAUUCAUUGUUUGAAUGUAAAAAUAAGAAGCAUAUUUACCAAUCAAAACGUAUAGACGUUAUACUUUUUUUGUUUGCAUUUCAAUAGGAAAUAUCAAUUGCGAUGUUGAUUAAGCAAAUUCCAAGUAAGUGAAUAUUACGUUUAUUUAGAACGAAAACAUGAACCACGAGCCUUCGUCUGUUCGUUUCGAGCAAUUGUUCUGAUCAGAUCUAAGCAAGUAACUGGUUCUCUAGUCACUACGUCAUUUUCUCAACAUCGUCGGUCUAACUUUCAAAGAAAAUAUUUGAGUUUGUAAAAAAACACGCUAAACAUUAAAGGGGCAGUCAACCAGAUUGACGAAAAAAGAAAAGUUCUAAAAUACCGUCUUUAAGCGCUUUAUAUUGAUAAAUUAAAACAUUGGAUCUAAAAAUCUCGAGUUAAAAAAACAAGAAUAAAAUGCAAAAACGAAAAAAGUAACCCUAAACAGGGCUCGAACCACUGACCCCUGGAGUCCUGGAGUAAAAAGAUUAAAUAAAUAUAUACCAUUUAUACCACUCGGUCAUCCAUGCUAGUACAAUGUGCGUUUUAUUUUAUACUAUAUAUAAGCAAUACUCGUAGUCUCACAAAAUGUGACGACAACAACAGAACUCUCAAAAUUUCUAGAACACCAUCAAUGGGACAUUUUGACGUUUUGGUAAAUUGACAAAAUUGAAAACAAAAGGUUUCAAAUUUUCGUUGCAGUUAUAUUUGCGAGGAAACAGUAAUACUGAACAUUUACCAUACUCUAAAUAAUCAAUGACAUGCAUCUUUUGACGAUUUAAAAACCUGAAAAUUAUAAAGCGUUACAAACGCGAAGCGAUCAAAUAAUUUGGAGAGUCGGGAUCUGUUGUUAUCAUUAUAGUUUGUGACAUUACAAGAAUAGCUGAUAUAAUUUAUAAAAUACGCUAUUCUUAACAUGAGCACGGAUGGCCGAGUGGUUUAAGUAUUAGACGUUUACCCUAAGAGACUGUGGUUCGAACAAAAUGAAGCAUUACUGUUUCUCUUUCUUAACUAUUUUUUGUACUGGAGCUACAUGUACAUGUACAUGUAUAUAGUUCCCAUGUUUACGGUUAUCAAUUUUAAGGGACCCUCCAAAAGAUUGUACGUUUUGGUAAAUUGACAAAAUAAAAAAAAUUGUUUCAGAUUCGCUAAUUUUCGUUUUCGUUAUGACAUUUUUGAGGAAAUACACUUGGAGACACUUCUAACGCAUCACUUAAUCAUAUCAAUAUAGCUCCCUUAUUUUUGAUCGGAUUGUGUUGAAAUUUGGACCAAGAAUAAUUCAACACAUAUCUGAUAACUCCUGAAAAUUUAAUUGAAAUUGAAAAACAACAAUACAUGUAUGUAAAACUUAACAAAUUAAAAGCGUCACUUCAAAAGUCAAAUUCGCAAACUCGUACAACGUUAAAUAAUAACAAUGAGAAAAUAAAACGCAUAAACGUACACGUCUUAAUAACUGACCGGCUUGCAACAUGCCGAUUGAGCCAUUUCGCUCGUGAAUAUUCAUACGAGCCAUAAUGUUUUUCUUAAAGUAAUGUUAUGUUGUUCUUGUGUAAAAACUUACCUAGAAUUAUGAAAUUGAAAUUAAAUUGGAAUAAAAUGUAUAUCGCCUUUUA
Molecule: long non-coding RNA, 4215 nt
Organism: Dreissena polymorpha
Lineage: Eukaryota; Metazoa; Mollusca; Bivalvia; Myida; Dreissenidae
Exons: 4
Source: RefSeq, a predicted model, not a curated record